RNAcentral lists this ribosomal RNA (388 nucleotides) under uncultured bacterium. RNAcentral describes it as "bacterial SSU rRNA". It matches the Rfam family "Bacterial small subunit ribosomal RNA", at positions 30 to 416 of the family's 1533-position model. The record is from RNAcentral.
AUUGAACGCUGGCGGCAUGCCUUACACAUGCAAGUCGAACGGCAGCACGGGAGCAAUCCUGGUGGCGAGUGGCGAACGGGUGAGUAAUAUAUCGGAACGUGCCCAGUCGUGGGGAUAACGUAGCGAAAGCUACGCUAAUACCGCAUACGAUCUAUGGAUGAAAGCGGGGGAUCGCAAGACCUCGCGCGAUUGGAGCGGCCGAUAUCAGAUUAGGUAGUUGGUGAGGUAAAGGCUCACCAAGCCGACGAUCUGUAGCUGGUCUGAGAGGACGACCAGCCACACUGGGACUGAGACACGGCCCAGACUCCUACGGGAGGCAGCAGUGGGGAAUUUUGGACAAUGGGCGGCCAAGCCCUGAUCCAGCAAUGCCGCGUGCAGGAUGAAGGCC